This 500-nucleotide ribosomal RNA is filed under the name uncultured bacterium. RNAcentral's name for it is "partial 16S ribosomal RNA". It matches the Rfam family "Bacterial small subunit ribosomal RNA", at positions 29 to 523 of the family's 1533-position model. The record is from RNAcentral.
AUUGAACGCUGGCGGCAUGCCUUACACAUGCAAGUCGAACGGCAGCACGGACUUCGGUCUGGUGGCGAGUGGCGAACGGGUGAGUAAUACAUCGGAACGUGCCCAGUCGUGGGGGAUAACGUAGCGAAAGCUACGCUAAUACCGCAUACGAUCUAAGGAUGAAAGCGGGGGACCGUAAGGCCUCGCGCGAUUGGAGCGGCCGAUGGCAGAUUAGGUAGUUGGUGGGGUAAAGGCUCACCAAGCCGACGAUCUGUAGCUGGUCUGAGAGGACGACCAGCCACACUGGGACUGAGACACGGCCCAGACUCCUACGGGAGGCAGCAGUGGGGAAUUUUGGACAAUGGGCGCAAGCCUGAUCCAGCCAUUCCGCGUGCAGGAUGAAGGCCCUCGGGUUGUAAACUGCUUUUGUACGGAACGAAAAGGCUCUGGUUAAUACCUGGGGCUCAUGACGGUACCGUAAGAAUAAGCACCGGCUAACUACGUGCCAGCAGCAGCCGCGG